This 545-nucleotide ribosomal RNA is filed under the name marine sediment metagenome. RNAcentral describes it as "LSU rRNA". It matches the Rfam family "Archaeal large subunit ribosomal RNA", at positions 229 to 771 of the family's 2987-position model. The record is from RNAcentral.
GGCGAGCGAAACCGGUAUAGGGCAAACCGAACCUGGUGGUGAGAGCCACUGGGGAUGUGGAGUUGUAGGACUUCCUCCAAUCUCUCGCGCGGAAAGCUGAAGCAGUUGGAAAACUGCGCUUUAGAGGGUGAGAGCCCCGUAGGCGUAACUGCGCAGGGUACGAGGGGAAGUAUCCUGAAUAGGAUGCCUUGGAAAUGGUGUCCGAAGCUGGGAGGCAUCAACUCCCAACCCUAAACACGACUCGAGACCGAUAGUGAACGCAGUACCGCGAGGGAAAGCCGAAAAGCACCCCGGAAGGGGGGUGAAAAGAGCCUAAAACCAGAUGGCGAUUGUUGGGUACGGCCUAAAAGAGUUGAUUCUCCCCGAAGGAAGCCGUCGCGAGGCGGUGGUACGAGGGGAGAGGAUCGGAGUCGUACCGUCCGUCUAGAAUCACGGGCCAGGGAGUUCAUUGUCGUGGCGAGGCUAAGGAGUUCAACUCCGGAGCCAAAGCGAAAGCGAAAGGUCCGCAGCCCGAAAGGGCGAGGGACUGGGUGUGAAUAGCGCCC